Phrynosoma platyrhinos (Desert horned lizard) is the source of this 72-nucleotide non-coding RNA. NCBI's taxonomy places the organism in Eukaryota, Metazoa, Chordata, Lepidosauria, Squamata, Phrynosomatidae. The record is from the annotation of a GenBank genome assembly.
GAGAGAGUGGCAUAGUGGUUUGGGUGUUGGACAAUGACUCUAGAGGCCAGGGUUCGAAUCCCGGCUGGGCCA